UGAGCAAUCUGCCCUUCUCUUCGGAAUAAGCGUUGGAAACGACGUCUAAUGCCGAAUACGACCUCCUUUCGCAUGAUCGGAGGUGAAAAGCUCCGGCGGAGAAGGAUGAGCUCGCGGCCUAUCAGCUAGUUGGUGUGGGUAAUGGCCCACCAAGGCGACGACGGGUAGCCGGCCUGAGAGGGUGACCCGGCCACACGUGGGACUGAGACACGGCCCAGACCUCCGUACGGGAGGCAG
RNAcentral lists this ribosomal RNA (237 nucleotides) under uncultured bacterium. RNAcentral describes it as "partial 16S ribosomal RNA". It matches the Rfam family "Bacterial small subunit ribosomal RNA", at positions 118 to 351 of the family's 1533-position model. The record is from RNAcentral.